Molecule: transfer RNA, 60 nt
Filed under: Crotalus horridus (timber rattlesnake)
Lineage: Eukaryota; Metazoa; Chordata; Lepidosauria; Squamata; Viperidae
Description: tRNA-Gly
Source: RNAcentral
AUUUCUUUAGUAUACAAGUAUAAAUGCCUUCCAAGCAAAGGGCUCCCACGGGAAGACAUA